This 1202-nucleotide long non-coding RNA is filed under the name Olea europaea subsp. europaea. Lineage: Eukaryota; Viridiplantae; Streptophyta; Magnoliopsida; Lamiales; Oleaceae. The record is from RNAcentral.
CUGCCCUUGACCCAUUAAGAAAUACCAUCUUACUUUUAUGAGUUAUGUUACACAAAUAGGAUUGCUGGCAGGAUUUAAGAACAGGAGGAACACCUGUCAACAUUUCAUCGAACAGAUUGAAAUUUAAAAAAAUGAAAAAAGAAGAAGAAGGAAGAAGAAGAAAAAAAGAAACCUGUCACCAACCCCGUAUCUAAACCUUGUUCAAGCAGCAUAACUCUACUUUUAUAAAGAAAUGGUGAUCACCAGAAGCACAGUUUUGUUGGACAAGUAGGACUGCAUAAUAUAUUCACUUGCAGUAUUUUUGACCAGUACAAUAUUAAUUACAAUAAUACACUUACGUAUAUCAUAGAGGAAGAAAAACUGAAAACCUCCAGCUUCAAUAUAGUUUAACAGCAGCCACCUUAAUUUUCUAUUGUAAAUUGUUGAUUAUGAACCUUGGAAGUAUAUCAGUUUGUUCCAUAGGAAAUAACCACCUCCUUAGAGUGUUGAAGAAGCGGCGGAUAUGUCUCAUGAAAGUGUGUUCCUCUCUUCGGCAUAGCAAUUCACCAGCUGAUAUCAAUACACAAAGCACAUAUAGAACAGGCCCAAUGGAGUCAGGGAAGAAGAUCGAUAACAGUGAUGCCACUGCCGUAUUGCCAAAGAACACCAUACAAUGGAAAGGGUAAGUUGAACUUGAGGGGGGGUUAGCGUGCAUAUCUAACCUAAAAUUUGCGCCAUAUGUCAAAAUAACAUACACCAACGAGCUAAAAAUUGCCAUAUGCAUCGUUUUGGAGUGAGUUAUAAAAGGACUUUUGUCCAUUCCCUGAUACUUCACCUGCAAGAGUGCAAGCAACGUAGGAACAAUGAACUCAACGCUUUUACCAUUGGAAGUCAUUGCAAACCCUAGAUGAAGGAUAUACAAAAUCUGGAAUAUAAAAUAGACAUUGGCAGCACAAAAUUGUUCCCAAGUCAUGAAGUUGAGAGAAGGAUUAUCAGGUAGACGGGUAAACGGAUGAGUAUGAAUAUUUGUUUGUGAGAGUGAGAAAGGAAGAGAAAAAUGGAGGGUUUUGUUUAUGGCAGGUGGUGUUUAAGUGCACCUUUGGAUUUCACCUAUUGUGAGGGAUACAAUGAUCAAAAAUUCUGACGCAGCUUUCUUUCUUCCAGCUUCACCCCAUGAUACCCAUGGAACGUCAAACCCCUCAAUACAAGCGGAGGGAAGGGCA